GUAACGGCGAGUGAAGCGGCAACAGCUCAAAUUUGAAAUCUGGCUCCUUCGGGGUCCGAAUUGUAAUUUGUAGAGAGUGCUUCGGGCGAGACCUCGGUCUAAGUCCAUUGGAACAUGGUGUCAUAGAGGGUGAGAAUCCCGUAUGCGACCGUGGCUCGAGCCCAUGUGAAGCCUCUUCGACGAGUCGAGUUGUUUGGGAAUGCAGCUCAAAAUGGGUGGUAAAUUUCAUCUAAAGCUAAAUACUGGCUGGAGACCGAUAGCGCACAAGUAGAGUGAUCGAAAGAUGAAAAGCACUUUGGAAAGAGAGUCAAACAGUACGUGAAAUUGUUGAAAGGGAAGCGCUUGCAACCAGACCUGCCCGUAGGCGAUCAGCCGCUGUUCUCAGCGGUGUACUCGCUCUGCGAUCAGGCCAGCAUCGGUUUCGGCGGUCGGAUAAAGACCUUGGGAAUGUAGCUUCCCUUCGGGGAAGUCUUAUAGCCCUCGGUGCAAUGCGGCCAGCCGGGACCGAGGACCGCGCUUCGGCUAGGAUGCUGGCGUAAUGGUUGUAAGCGACCCGUCUUGAAACACGGACCAAGGAGUCUAACAUCUAUGCGAGUGUUUGGGUGUCAAACCCAUACGCGGAAUGAAAGUGAACGGAGGUGAGAACCCUCAAGGGCGCAUCAUCGACCGAUCCAGAUGUCUUCGGAUGGAUUUGAGUAUGAGCAUAGCUGUUGGGACCCGAAAGAUGGUGAACUAUGCCUGAAUAGGGUGAAGCCAGAGGAAACUCUGGUGGAGGCUCGCAGCGGUUCUGACGUGCAAAUCGAUCGUCAAAUUUGGGUAUAGGGGCGAAAGA
This 832-nucleotide ribosomal RNA is filed under the name Xanthoparmelia joranadae. RNAcentral's name for it is "partial large subunit ribosomal RNA". It matches the Rfam family "Eukaryotic large subunit ribosomal RNA", at positions 83 to 930 of the family's 3401-position model. The record is from RNAcentral. Lineage: Eukaryota; Fungi; Ascomycota; Lecanoromycetes; Lecanorales; Parmeliaceae.